AACGAACGCUGGCGGCAGGCCUAACACAUGCAAGUCGAGCGAACCCUUCGGGGUUAGCGGCGGACGGGUUAGUAACGCGUGGGAAUAUACCCUUUGGUACGGAAUAGCCUCGGGAAACUGAGAGUAAUACCGUAUGUGCCCUUCGGGGGAAAGAUUUAUCGCCAAAGGAUUAGCCCGCGUUGGAUUAGAUAGUUGGUGGGGUAAUGGCCUACCAAGUCUACGAUCCAUAGCUGGUUUGAGAGGAUGAUCAGCAACACUGGGACUGAGACACGGCCCAGACUCCUACGGGAGGCAGCAGUGGGGAAUCUUAGACAAUGGGCGCAAGCCUGAUCUAGCCAUGCCGCGUGGACGAUGAAGGCCUUAGGGUUGUAAAGCACUUUCAGUAGGGAGGAAACAGUAGCCGGUUAAUAUCCGGUUGCCUUGACGUUACCUACAGAAGAAGCACCGGCUAACUCUGUGCCAGCAGCCGCGGUAAUGUAGACGU
This 484-nucleotide ribosomal RNA is filed under the name uncultured bacterium. RNAcentral describes it as "bacterial SSU rRNA". It matches the Rfam family "Bacterial small subunit ribosomal RNA", at positions 29 to 532 of the family's 1533-position model. The record is from RNAcentral.